RNAcentral lists this small nucleolar RNA (126 nucleotides) under Echinops telfairi (small Madagascar hedgehog). Its description in RNAcentral is "Small nucleolar RNA SNORA61 (ENSETEG00000026112.1)". Lineage: Eukaryota; Metazoa; Chordata; Mammalia; Afrosoricida; Tenrecidae. The record is from RNAcentral.
AACUUCCAUAUUCGUUAUCCCUCGGAUCUAAACAUUGGUCUAAGCGGCUGUAAAAGGAGGCAGUAUCAAAUGGAAGUGGACUUGUGGACUUGUCUUUAGUGAUGGACAAGUUCAUCUCAAACAUAG